GGGGAAUAUUGGACAAUGGGGGCAACCCUGAUCCAGCGAUGCCGCGUGAGUGAAGAAGGCCUUCGGGUCGUAAAGCUCUUUAGGUUGGGAAGAAGGUUAUUCGAGGAAAUGCGAGUAAUUUGACGGUACCGACAGAAUAAGCACCGGCAAACUCUGUGCCAGCAGCCGCGGUAAUACAGAGGGUGCAAGCGUUAAUCGGAGUUACUGGGCGUAAAGGGCGCGUAGGCGGUAUUAUGUGUGUGAUGUGAAAGCCCCGGGCUUAACCUGGGAAGUGCAUCGCAAACUGUAAAACUAGAGUAGAUGAGAGGGUGAUGGAAUUUCCGGUGUAGCGGUGAAAUGCGUAGAGAUCGGAAGGAACGUCAAUGGCGAAGGCAGUCACCUGGCAUCAUACUGACGCUGAGGCGCGAAAGCGUGGGGAGCGAAC
Molecule: ribosomal RNA, 424 nt
Filed under: uncultured bacterium
Lineage: Bacteria
Description: bacterial SSU rRNA
Rfam family: Bacterial small subunit ribosomal RNA
Source: RNAcentral